Molecule: unclassified non-coding RNA, 302 nt
Filed under: uncultured Pseudomonadota bacterium
Lineage: Bacteria; Pseudomonadati; Pseudomonadota
Description: uncultured proteobacterium partial 16S-23S ribosomal RNA intergenic spacer
Source: RNAcentral
GGCUUUCCCCAUACGUAAAUCUUCGGAUCAAAGGGUGCUCGCGCCUCCCCGAAGCUUAUCGCAGCGUGCCACGUCCUUCAUCGCCUCUCGACGCCAAGGCAUCCGUCAGAAGCCCUUAUGCGCUUGAUCGUUCUCAGCAAAACUCAUGCGUGGGGACGGUUGCCGCCCGAGGUACGAAACCCGGACAGCGCCCACACAUGCGCUUUGUCUUUGCCAGACAAUGACCCCUUCACAAGGUCACCCCUGCCAACGCCAUACGGCGCCGGAGCAACCCUGGAGUUCACGAUGUCAGAAAGCGCGGC